This 1008-nucleotide ribosomal RNA is filed under the name uncultured bacterium. RNAcentral describes it as "bacterial SSU rRNA". It matches the Rfam family "Bacterial small subunit ribosomal RNA", at positions 56 to 1060 of the family's 1533-position model. The record is from RNAcentral.
UGCAGUCGAACGCGAAAGCGGGGCAACCCGCAAGUAGAGUGGCGAACGGGUGAGUAAUACAUCGGAACGUAUCCAGUAGCGGGGGAUAACCUGUCGAAAGAUAGGCUAAUACCGCAUACGAUCUACGGAUGAAAGCGGGGGACCGCAAGGCCUCGCACUAUUGGAACGGCCGAUGUCGGAUUAGCUAGUUGGUGAGGUAAAGGCUUACCAAGGCGACGAUCCGUAGCUGGUCUGAGAGGACGAUCAGCCACACUGGAACUGAGACACGGUCCAGACUCCUACGGGAGGCAGCAGUGGGGAAUUUUGGACAAUGGGCGCAAGCCUGAUCCAGCCAUGCCGCGUGAGUGAAGAAGGCCUUCGGGUUGUAAAGCUCUUUCGGCGGGGACGAAACGGUUCGUGUGAACAUCACGGACUAAUGACGGUACCCGCAUAAGAAGCACCGGCUAACUACGUGCCAGCAGCCGCGGUAAUACGUAGGGUGCAGGCGUUAAUCGGAAUUACUGGGCGUAAAGCGUGCGCAGGCGGUUUGUUAAGACAGGUGUGAAAUCCCCGGGCUUAACCUGGGAAUUGCGCUUGUAACUGGCAGGCUAGAGUGUGGCAGAGGGGGGUGGAAUUCCACGUGUAGCAGUGAAAUGCGUAGAUAUGUGGAGGAACACCGAUGGCGAAGGCAGCCCCCUGGGUUAACACUGACGCUCAUGCACGAAAGCGUGGGGAGCAAACAGGAUUAGAUACCCUGGUAGUCCACGCCCUAAACUAUGUCAACUGGUUGUCGGGGAAGAAAUUCCUUGGUAACGAAGCUAACGCGUGAAGUUGACCGCCUGGGGAGUACGGCCGCAAGGUUAAAACUCAAAGGAAUUGACGGGGACCCGCACAAGCGGUGGAUUAUGUGGAUUAAUUCGAUGCAACGCGAAAAACCUUACCUACCCUUGACAUGUACGGAAUUCCGCAGAGAUGUGGAAGUGCCCGAAAGGGAACCGUAACACAGGUGCUGCAUGGCUGUCGUCAGCU